This 200-nucleotide ribosomal RNA is filed under the name uncultured prokaryote. Its description in RNAcentral is "partial 16S ribosomal RNA". It matches the Rfam family "Bacterial small subunit ribosomal RNA", at positions 1182 to 1382 of the family's 1533-position model. The record is from RNAcentral.
AUGUCAAAUCAUCAUGCCCCUUAUGUCCUGGGCUACACACGUACUACAAUGGCCGGAACAGAGGGCUGCGAAGGAGCAAUCCGGAGCGAAACCCCAAAACCGGUCCCAGUUCGGAUUGUGGGCUGAAACCCGCCCGCAUGAAGUCGGAAUUGCUAGUAAUGGCAGGUCAGCAUACUGCCGUGAAUACGUUCCCGGGCCUU